UAUUCUGAGCUACAGGGAUUAUUAGUAGAGAAACUCUCAUUGGGAGAGGGGAUUGAUGGCGUCGAGGCAGCAGCCCUGUGAGUUGACAGGGAUGCUAAUAUAGCCACGGCAGAAGUUUAGAGAGCAGAUCAGAGCAGCUGGGUGGGCUGAUAGAGAGGAUCAGGACAGCCCAGAGGAGCAGUAAGAGGAUCCAAAUAAGUGGAUUAGUAGCAUACCAAAGCACACAUUACUUUUAGUUUUCAAACUCCCAUUGAUUUUACUGCAAGUGCAUUUACUAAUGUGUGGCAGGAGAAACAGAAGAGGAUCAAAGCAGAAUCCAGACAUGGAGAGCAAGUCCCUGUGGCAAGCUGGAAAUGGCGAGAGGCUGGGCUGGGGAGCAGAGCACAACAUCCCCACAUCAGGCUCAGUCAGGACUUAGAGGAGCAUGGCUGCUGCCAGGGCUUCAUCCCGCAGCCUCAAGGAGCUGUCUAAUGGUGUUAAAUGCUUUUGUUCCUGCAGCUGAUGCUGCAUUCAUUUUCCAUCAGUAGCUCCAGCGAUUGCAUCACUGCACUCUUACAUCUGCCUUCAGCUGCUGUGGCUGAAGCAAAUUGACACAAAAAUGGAGGAAUGAUUAGCAGCAUAAACCUCUUGGAACUCUCCCUAGCAGGGGACUCACUGGGCUGCUGGACCCCGAACUGAGCUUGCUGCAAUUUGUGCCUGCAGAAUUCAUCAGAACUGGGACUGCUGACUGCUGUGCUUGGGCAUUGUUGGCAUUGACUCUGGGAUGACCCAAAGCUCAAACGUGCCCUUUCUGAGGACACCAGCCUGGUUUAUAUUUCAUCUCUUAGGCAGAGGUGGUAGUGAUGCAAAGACACAUCCAGACUAAAAUUUCUAAGCACUAGUACUCUUUAUAGCAGAAAAGUUCAAAUUUCUAGGCAAAAUAACAAGCCCUACAUUGUCCUCAGCUCCCUUGAAGCACUUGGGUUGUAAGGCCAAAAUUAGUUCAGCCCAGGGUUUCUCCAUCUUGCAGAGAAGCAGAAGAUGUCCAUGUAUAUGGACAGUUUCUUUUCCAUAUCCUCUUUCAUAAAAAAGAGCAUUGUUGAGACCUUUUCUUCUUUAUCCUUCAGCCACAUCUGUUGCAUAGACACCUUGGUCUCCUCUCCAUUCCCAGAAUUAAAAUCCAAACACUAGUUUGUCUUAGGGAUUACUUAAUAUCCAUUAUGCCACAAGUAUUGGAUCAGAGUGGAUGACCAUCAAGCAUUGACUCUUAGAAUGCAGUGUCCUUCCUCUUGCAAUCUUAGUCCAAGAUGUACAUAAAUUCACAGAGCGGGGGAAAAGUCCAACCUUAUAAAGGUUUGCAUUCUGAUAUGGAAAUGUUUAGAAGGUUUGCAUUCUGAUAUGGAAAUAUUCAGAGGCUUUGUGACUGCACACACAAAGAACACUUUGUACAUAGAUUCAGUUAUAUUCCUUAUUGUUGAAACAGUUCUGGAAUGUUUUGGUCUCCCUGAGCUGGAAAACAGAUGAAAACAUUGGUCUGUCCUGUAAUUUUUUCUUUAAAAUUUAUAUGAGAAAGAUUAACAAGCAGCAGGAUGGACAAAAAGGCAUUUCAACACUGUGUUCCAAAAGAAAAAGAGUAAGGACAGAGACAUGAAAUGUCAAGUACUGUGACUCAAAUGGUCACAAAAAAAUUAAGGAGGAUUAGAAAACAAGUUAAACUGCACUCCUGACUUCAGAAUUCUUCAGGACAUCCAGACACCUUCCUCUCUAAUGACCCAGUCCUUGCAUAUGCCAGCCUGAGAGCCUGCUGAAAGGGAAGGUUUGUAGUGAGACAGCAGAGCACAAUGUGGCCUAUUGUCAGCUUGGGGGCUAAGUACUGCCUACAUAUGUCAUAUGACCUCAAAACCACCACUGGAAACACUACUACAGUUUAUAAAAUCCUCAGUGCCAUUCAUUACACAUAACUAACCAAAAUAGCUCACCUAUUAACCUGUCACCUGCACAACUCCUGGUCUCCAAUUUACCUCUUCACCCUUCUCCUGCUUCUAAUACCACACGGAACCUCAUCAGGCUCCAAGAUGAGUGGUAAUCAUGGUGCUAUUAAUAUGACAGUCAGCAGCCUCAUCCCACUUCACAUGGCCUCACAUGAAUUCCUUGACAUUAGACUUUAAGCCUCAGAUCGAAUCACUGAGUUUAUGAGACUUUCUCCACUGUCAUUUUUCCAACUGAAAAGCUGAAGUGGUUCCGCUUAGUACACUUAUUUAAUUCUCCUCAGCUCUAGGACUCUUUAAUCAUCUUUGUCCUAUACCAUCCUACUUCUGAAUAAUAAAAUGUUAUCAUGAACUGGGCACACCUAGAAACAAAAAGUCUGGGACGUCCUAUGUGAAGAGCACUGCUGCUGUUAAUACUGAAAUAUUACUAGAUCAGAUUAAUUAUAUUUAAUCAGUUAGCUCAUGAUCUGAAAUGAAAAAGUGUUUCUACACACCAGAAAAUUGUUGGAAAAAUUACCACCAGUUAGAAUGGGGAGGGGAUAUUUUGAAAGUAACUUGAAGCAUAAUAAAACGUUAACUAAGAAAUAAUCAGGGAUGAUCAUACUGACUCGAGACAUGUUGCAAGACAAAGUCCUUAUUUAGCCGGCUAAUUUAACAGCAUUUUGAAAAACACAUUACUCAGUUAAUGGUUUGAGGAAACACUUUGAAACCAUUCAUGAAUAGAUACAAAAUGCUCAGAUUUUUCACAUUUUCACCAAAAAGACCUAUGGGUUCUUAAUAUGUAAUAAUAGCAUGAUACUGAGACAGAAACUGAAAUAAAAGAUGAAAUUAAAAGCUGUCUGCCCCCCAGAGCCAGUGUGCACUUUAUCCUAAGUCACUUGGCUGCCACAGCAAUGCAGCCAGUGACUAUCUAGGGUGACACAAGGCAGCCAUUCUAAUGGGAUAAAGAGGACUUUCAUCUCUACAUUUCUCCAGCUGGAAUAAUGCAAUGGUGGCCUGUGACAAACGAGCCAGAUGAUCCCAGUCCAGUUUUAGGAUGCCCACCCCAAAAUGCCCAACGACAGACUCACAGCUCCCUGUACAUGGGAGCCUUUGAGUUUGCGUAGUUUUUUCUAAGUCCCAGCUAAGAAGCACCAGCAGUGUAGGACAAAGCUGCUUCCAGCUACCGGAUCCUCCUAAGUGUUGUAUGGAUAACUACAAGACUUUGACCUAAAGUCACCUUGUCCUAGUUUCUAAUUCACUUUUAUGCAGAUGAGAUGGCAGGACUGGGGCUGCAGUAUCCACACUAGCUCAUACUUUCAGAAAUGAAAGCUGCAAGAUUUAUUUAUCUGAGCGACCACAAUUAGGCCAGCUUGCAGGAUCAGCUUUAUUCUGCAUGAAAAGGAUAGAUCUCUCUAACUCACAUAAAGGAAAAUGAGAAAUAUCAGUGGAAAAGGGGAUGUGCCAAUUCUUGGAACUCUGCAUUGCCCAGACUGAAAUGCCACGAGUGUCCUUUAAGCAAAAUAUCAGCACAGGGAAGGAAGAACUUAAACCAGUAAGAGAGCAGUUUAUAAAACACUGCUGUCACAUUUUCGUAAAUUAUACCCCAAAAUGUUUCACAAAAUUGAGUAACAGAGGAAAACAGAAAAUAUUUUUGUAGCACAUUCCUUUGGCAAAUGCAGGAUAAAGCUCAUCAUGUGAGCUGAACUGUAAAUGAGGGCCUUAUGCUUUAUAAAAAUUCUCCUAUUGUCCCAGGAAGGAUGAGAGUCAAAUGUAACAGUUUCAGCAUAUAAGUCCUGUAAAUAAAGUUAGUUAGCAGACAGGAAUCAGCAGACUGUCUGGGGAGGGGAGAAAAAAAAAAGUGAAAAUACUCUUUUUGUACAAAAAUUUUAAGCACACUGCUGCUGCGUUUCAGACCCAACUUCAUUGCACUGUACCAGAGAUUAAUUGGACCCACAAAAUCCAGCAAACAGCAUAUGACAUCCAUCUACCUUUGCUGCUUCAGCAUCCUCUCAAAAAUAUGUAAUGCAGGAUUUUAAAUAGUACGCUAGCCCAGUUUCCUUUCAUAAAGUCUUACAGAGAAGUUUAGGAAAAUUCCAAAAGUAGCAUAUUGAUUGCCUCUGGGAUUUUCCACUUAGCAAUUUAAUAGAAAAUUACACCCCUACCCAAUCUGUGAGGUUUCCAUAACCUCCCUAGUGAAUUUAAUUUUCCAGCAUAUAAUAAAUUUUACCAUUAGGCAUAUUUUCUGAUAUUGCUUCACCAUUAAGGCUAUUUCCCAAUUUUUCUUUUCAGAACUAGGUAUAUCCUCUGUGUAGUGUCUGGAUGGCACCUUGCACCGAAGAAUUCAGGUCUGACUAUGUGCAUGCACACAGUUAGGAUACAAAUCACUACUGUUAGUAUUCAAUUUGCUUCCCUCCUGCUCAUUUUAUGUCAUUAUACCUAGUGAUAGGGUCAGUCAAUAUUACUGGAGCUAACGGGAUUCUCCUGGGUGCUCUGAGGAGACCAAGGCAAGAUCUGCAUUUUGCAUCUGUUCAAGUAGGCGUAUGCAAGUAUCACAUAGUCUUCUCCUUGUCACAACACAGUCUGACUACAUGUAAAACACAAUAUGAUGAUCGGAGCUGUGUUUGCAGUUAUCAGUAGUCAUAACUGUAAACGCCUGGGUUCUUUCUCUACAGGCAACAGGCAAAAGCACUCUCAGCUGUAAAAAAAAACAAAAACAAAA
Long non-coding RNA from Taeniopygia guttata (zebra finch), 4668 nucleotides. Lineage: Eukaryota; Metazoa; Chordata; Aves; Passeriformes; Estrildidae. The record is from Ensembl.